CAUGAUCUGGUGAGGUUCACUUCACUUCACUUCCAACAUCCUCAUGUGAACCCUACGGUCAUAAUUCAUGAUUUAAUGCGGGUACGGGCAGUCCUGGGACGCAGCUGGACCGCAGCUGUAAAGCUUUUGGAUCUAAAGUUGUAGCUGUGGUGGGGAGGGUUCCUGGCACCGUGAUUUGGUGGAUAAACAGAAUUGAAAAUCACAUUGCCAGGGAUUUCCACCUCUGCACAGUUCUUCAGGUACCCCACCUACACCACCAACCGGACCGGGGGUAUUUUGUACAUCCUAUAACAGCACACAAAGAACCACAGAUUUGUCUGAAUUAGACUGUCAGGGCUCUUGUGUGCAUGUGGCUCAACGUCAACACUGACCCUGUUUACUUUCAUAAUGCACGUUCCAGUUUUUAUUGUGCUGGUUUUAUCAGUCAUCAGAAUGUACUUGCUCCAACUUGGAAAUGAUUUUAAGAAUUACUAUUACUAAUGCUCAUAAAUACGGAGCAUGGUGAUAUGGGAUGGGAGAAAAAAUUGCGUUCUGUCGCAAAAUUUUGGGUUUCCACCGAGAAACUUUGCGGGGAACUCAAAAUAUUUGUGAGAGAUUUAUGAUUUUCUCAUAUCUCAUAUUUUUUUUCCCAUCACCAUGUCCCUUUAGGAUACUUGGGAUUAAUGAUUUAAACAAA
This is a long non-coding RNA of Pimephales promelas (fathead minnow), 676 nucleotides long. RefSeq lists it as uncharacterized. NCBI's taxonomy places the organism in Eukaryota, Metazoa, Chordata, Actinopteri, Cypriniformes, Leuciscidae. The record is from RefSeq and is a predicted model, not a curated record.